GUGGAGAGGUGGUGAGCGCAGGGGCUGGUUUGGCCCAGGCAACUCAGCCUCCUUGAGGGGCCCUCAUGGUCUCUCCCAACCCACAUGCCAUGCUGACCGUGGUGGUAGAAGUGGAGUCGGGGAGGGGUUCAGGAACAAAACUUCACCUUUGACAGUCCUGGGCCCUGAUGCUGCUCAGGAGGCAGAGCAGGAGCUGCUGGCACGUGUCCAAUCCACACUGGGCUCUCUGGGCCGAGGGUACAGUGUGGCCCUGUUGCUCCGGGGGAGGGAAACAGAGGCACCCCGACUUGUGCCUCAGCUGCUGCAGAUGCUGUUUGAAGAAGCUCUGCCCCUCAGCUGCUCUGAUCCUGUGCUUAGCACUCUUAGCCUGGUGCAGGGCCUGCUGUCUGCUCACUCUCACCAUGUCCUGCCCAGGGCCUGACCCUCCUGAGGGGCCCGGGACCCAGCGUGUGUGGCAAGGGGCUCUACGGAUCCUACAGCUCCCAGGAGCCCCAGAUGGGGUUUCACCAUAUCAGCCAGGCUGGUCUCGAACUCCUGACCUCAAGUGAUUCGCCAGCCUCGUCCUCCCAAAGUGCUGGGAUUACAGGUGUGAGCCACCAUGCCCAUGGAGAAUGUAUUACUUUUGUAAUUUAAAAAAUAAUAGUAAUAAAAUAAAGAUCUGUA
RNAcentral lists this long non-coding RNA (663 nucleotides) under Homo sapiens (human). RNAcentral's name for it is "LHRI_LNC1093.38". The record is from RNAcentral. Lineage: Eukaryota; Metazoa; Chordata; Mammalia; Primates; Hominidae.